RNAcentral lists this ribosomal RNA (447 nucleotides) under uncultured bacterium. RNAcentral's name for it is "partial 16S ribosomal RNA". It matches the Rfam family "Bacterial small subunit ribosomal RNA", at positions 29 to 523 of the family's 1533-position model. The record is from RNAcentral.
AACGAACGCUGGCGGCAGGCCUAAAACAUGCAAGUCGAACGAACCUUCGGGUUAGUGGCGCACGGGUGCGUAACGCGUGGGAAUGUGCCUCUGGGUGCGGAACAACGUCGGGAAACUGACGCUAAUACCGCAUAAUAUCUACGGAUCAAAGAUUUAUCGCCCAGAGAUCAGCCCGCGUCUGAUUAGGUAGUUGGUAGGGUAAUGGCCUACCAAGCCUACGAUCAGUAGCUGGUCUGAGAGGAUGAUCAGCCACACUGGAACUGAGACACGGUCCAGACUCCUACGGGAGGCAGCAGUUAGGAAUAUUGGACAAUGGGGUAAACCCUGAUCCAGCCAUGCCGCGUGUGUGAAGAAGGCCUUAGGGUUGUAAAGCACUUUCGUCUAUGAAGAUAAUGACAGUAGUAGAAGAAGAAGCUCCGGCUAAAUUCGUGCCAGCCGCCGCGGUAA